GACGAACGCUGGCGGCGUGCUUAACACAUGCAAGUCGAACGGAAAGGCCCUGCUUUUGUGGGGUGCUCGAGUGGCGAACGGGUGAGUAACACGUGAGUAACCUGCCCUUGACUUUGGGAUAACUUCAGGAAACUGGGGCUAAUACCGGAUAGGAGCUCCUGCUGCAUGGUGGGGGUUGGAAAGUUUCGGCGGUUGGGGAUGGACUCGCGGCUUAUCAGCUUGUUGGUGGGGUAGUGGCUUACCAAGGCUUUGACGGGUAGCCGGCCUGAGAGGGUGACCGGCCACAUUGGGACUGAGAUACGGCCCAGACUCCUACGGGAGGCAGCAGUGGGGAAUAUUGCACAAUGGGCGGAAGCCUGAUGCAGCAACGCCGCGUGCGGGAUGACGGCCUUCGGGUUGUAAACCGCUUUCGCCUGUGACGAAGCUUGAGUGACGGUAAUGGGUAAAGAAGCACCGGCUAACUACGUGCCAGCAGCCGCGGUGAUACGUAGGGUGCGAGCGUUGUCCGGAUUUAUUGGGCGUAAAGGGCUCGUAGGUGGUUGAUCGCGUCGGAAGUGUAAUCUUGGGGCUUAACCCUGAGCGUGCUUUCGAUACGGGUUGACUUGAGGAAGGUAGGGGAGAAUGGAAUUCCUGGUGGAGCGGUGGAAUGCGCAGAUAUCAGGAGGAACACCAGUGGCGAAGGCGGUUCUCUGGGCCUUUCCUGACGCUGAGGAGCGAAAGCGUGGGGAGCGAACAGGCUUAGAUACCCUGGUAGUCCACGCUGUAAACGGUGGGUACUAGGUGUGGGGUCCAUUCCACGGGUUCCGUGCCGUAGCUAACGCUUUAAGUACCCCGCCUGGGGAGUACGGCCGCAAGGCUAAAACUCAAAGGAAUUGACGGGGCCCCGCACAAGCGGCGGAGCAUGCGGAUUAAUUCGAUGCAACGCGUAGAACCUUACCUGGGUUUGACAUGGAUCGGGAGUGCUCAGAGAUGGGUGUGCCUCUUUUGGGGUCGGUUCACAGGUGGUGCAUGGCUGUCGUCAGCUCGUGUCGUGAGAUGUUGGGUUAAGUCCCGCAACGAGCGCAACCCUUGUUCACUGUUGCCAGCACGUUAUGGUGGGGACUCAGUGGAGACCGCCGGGGUCAACUCGGAGGAAGGUGGGGAUGACGUCAAGUCAUCAUGCCCCUUAUGUCCAGGGCUUCACGCAUGCUACAAUGGCUGGUACAGAGAGUGGCGAGCCUGUGAGGGUGAGCGAAUCUCGGAAAGCCGGUCUCAGUUCGGAUUGGGGUCUGCAACUCGACCUCAUGAAGUCGGAGUCGCUAGUAAUCGCAGAUCAGCAACGCUGCGGUGAAUACGUUCCCGGG
RNAcentral lists this ribosomal RNA (1343 nucleotides) under uncultured bacterium. RNAcentral's name for it is "16S ribosomal RNA". It matches the Rfam family "Bacterial small subunit ribosomal RNA", at positions 28 to 1378 of the family's 1533-position model. The record is from RNAcentral.